Molecule: microRNA precursor, 82 nt
Organism: Mesocricetus auratus (golden hamster)
Lineage: Eukaryota; Metazoa; Chordata; Mammalia; Rodentia; Cricetidae
Source: Ensembl
CUCCUUGGCGGCUUGUUAGAAAGCAGAGUCUGAAUCUGGGAUAGGAACCAAGAUUUGGCAUUUUCAACAAAUUUCCAGGUGA